This 253-nucleotide ribosomal RNA is filed under the name uncultured bacterium. Its description in RNAcentral is "partial 16S ribosomal RNA". It matches the Rfam family "Bacterial small subunit ribosomal RNA", at positions 524 to 776 of the family's 1533-position model. The record is from RNAcentral.
UACGGGGGGGGCAAGCGUUGUUCGGAAUUACUGGGCGUAAAGGGCGCGUAGGCGGCCGGCUAAGUCGAACGUGAAAUCCCCGGGCUCAACCCGGGAACUGCGUCCGAUACUGGUCGGCUUGAAUUCGGGAGAGGGAUGUGGAAUUCCAGGUGUAGCGGUGAAAUGCGUAGAUAUCUGGAGGAACACCGGUGGCGAAGGCGGCAUCCUGGACCGGCAUUGACGCUGAGGCGCGAAAGCCAGGGGAGCAAACGGG